This 483-nucleotide ribosomal RNA is filed under the name uncultured bacterium. Its description in RNAcentral is "bacterial SSU rRNA". It matches the Rfam family "Bacterial small subunit ribosomal RNA", at positions 328 to 802 of the family's 1533-position model. The record is from RNAcentral.
AUGAAACACUCCUACGGGAGGCAGCAGUGGGGAAUAUUGCGCAAUGGGGGCAACCCUGACGCAGCCAUGCCGCGUGAAUGAAGAAGGCCUUCGGGUUGUAAAGUUCUUUCGGUGACGAGGAAGGUUGUUGUGUUAAUAGCGCAACAAAUUGACGUUAAUCACAGAAGAAGCACCGGCUAACUCCGUGCCAGCAGCCGCGGUAAUACGGAGGGUGCGAGCGUUAAUCGGAAUAACUGGGCGUAAAGGGCACGCAGGCGGCUAUUUAAGUGAGGUGUGAAAUCCCCGGGCUUAACCUGGGAAUUGCAUUUCAGACUGGGUAGCUAGAGUACUUUAGGGAGGGGUAGAAUUCCACGUGUAGCGGUGAAAUGCGUAGAGAUGUGGAGGAAUACCGAAGGCGAAGGCAGCCCCUUGGGAAUGUACUGACGCUCAUGUGCGAAAGCGUGGGGAGCAAACAGGAUUAGAAACCCUAGUAGUCCGAAGUUC